Molecule: ribosomal RNA, 372 nt
Filed under: uncultured organism
Description: bacterial SSU rRNA
Rfam family: Bacterial small subunit ribosomal RNA
Source: RNAcentral
CGGAGGGUGCGAGCGUUGUCCGGAAUCACUGGGCGUAAAGGGCGCGUAGGUGGCGGCCCAAGUCCAUGGUGAAAGCUCGAUGCUCAACAUCGAGUCGGCCACGGAUACUGGGUUGCUCGAGCACUGUAGAGGCAGAUGGAAUUCCGGGUGUAGCGGUGGAAUGCGUAGAGAUCCGGAAGAACACCGGUGGCGAAGGCGGUCUGCUGGGCAGUAGCUGACACUGAGGCGCGACAGCGUGGGGAGCAAACAGGAUUAGAUACCCUGGCAGUCCACGCCGUAAACGAUGGGCACUAGAUGCUUGGGGGAGCGACCCCCUGAGUGUCGUCGCUAACGCAGUAAGUGCCCCGCCUGGGGAGUACGGCCGCAAGGCUG